CGUCCGUCGUGCACAGCGCCAUCGCAAUUCCACUGUCAAUAGGCCUAACUAUCUUGUUGAAGGUUGCAAAAGUAGAAUUACAAAUCUUUUGGACAUGUGGUAUGAAAUAUUGCCAUGUGUUGGUAUUAUGGUGGGUGCAAUGACCCUUCCGAAUAUGUUUUCAUAUGUAGCGCAGAAAGUAUUUCGCAAUGGCAAGCACUGUUGUCGUGAUUGGGAGGCUGGUUUGGGUGAAGAUCAAAAGGGUUAUAAGAGAGAUCGAUACAUAACUGGCAGUGAAUACAGACCUAGGGGAUUGGAAUCCAUACCAGAUUUAAAGUGUUAAGCAGUGUUUUAAAAAAAAGAUCUUUGAACUAUAGGACAAGUAUAUUAAGUUCUGCUUUCAAGACCAUUUGUGAAAUGGACAAAAUUCUUUAUGUGGAAAUGUUUAUUUAUAUUAGGAAAUAAAAUAUGCAUAUAUCUUGAUAAAAAGAA
This is a long non-coding RNA of Patella vulgata (common limpet), 471 nucleotides long. RefSeq lists it as uncharacterized. The record is from RefSeq and is a predicted model, not a curated record. The transcript is spliced from 3 exons. Lineage: Eukaryota; Metazoa; Mollusca; Gastropoda; Patellidae.